GUCUUCAUGAUUUUAUUUGAAGUCUGGCCUGCCCAGUGAUGUUUAUUUAACGGCCGCGGUAUUCUGACUGUGCAAAGGUAGCAUAAUCAUUAGUCUUUUAAUAGAGGGCUGGAAUGAAAGGUUUGACAAGGAAUUGACUGUCUUAUAUUUGAUAUUUUAAAAUUUAUCUUUUAAGUCAAAAGACUUAAAUUUUGUUGGAAGACGAGAAGACCCUAUAGAGCUUUAUGAUUGUUCAUUUAAUAUUUAUUGGUGUAUGAAUUUAUUUUAUUUGAAUUUUUAUUUUGUUGGGGUGACAAAAGAAUAUAAUUAACUUUUAUAUUAUUAUUACCAUUAAUAUAUGAUUAUUAGAUCCAUUAUUAUUGAUUUUUAGACUAAGUUACCUUAGGGAUAACAGCGUUAUCUUCUUUUAGAGUUCAAAUUUACAAGAAGGCUUGCGACCUCGAUGUUGGAUUAAGAUUAUAAUUGGGUGCAGUAGCUUAAUUAAUAGGUCUGUUCGACCUUUAAAUUCUUACAUGAUCUGAGUUCAGACCGG
Molecule: ribosomal RNA, 532 nt
Filed under: Teinopodagrion meridionale
Lineage: Eukaryota; Metazoa; Arthropoda; Insecta; Odonata; Megapodagrionidae
Description: partial 16S ribosomal RNA
Rfam family: Bacterial large subunit ribosomal RNA
Source: RNAcentral